AACGAACGCUGGCGGCAUGCCUAACACAUGCGAGUCGAACGAGACCUUCGGGUCGAGUGGCGCACGGGUGCGUAACGCGUGGGAACCUGCCCUUAGGUUCGGAAUAACGCCCCGAAAGGGGGGCUAAUACCGGAUAAUGUCUUCGGACCAAAGAUUGAUCGCCUUUGGAUGGGCCCGCGUUGGAUGAGCUAGUGGGUAGGGUAAAAGCCUACCAAGGCGACGAUCCAUAGCUGGUCUGAGAGGAUGAUCCGCCACACUGGGACUGAGACACGGCCCAGACUCCUCCGGGAGGCAGCCGUGUGUACUCUUGGCCACUCGGCUAAAUCCUGAUCCCUCCCUGCCGCGUGAGUGAUGAAGGCCUUAGGGUUGUCCCGCUCUUUUACCCGGGCUGCUCCUGCCAGUACCGGUCGAAUACGCUCCGGCUAACUCCGUG
RNAcentral lists this ribosomal RNA (433 nucleotides) under uncultured bacterium. Its description in RNAcentral is "partial 16S ribosomal RNA". It matches the Rfam family "Bacterial small subunit ribosomal RNA", at positions 29 to 507 of the family's 1533-position model. The record is from RNAcentral.